AGCAGCCGCGGUAAUUCCAGCUCCAAUAGCGUAUAUUAAAGUUGUUGCAGUUAAAAAGCUCGUAGUUGAAUUUCGGAAUUUUUUAUCGGUUGAAUCAACAGGUUCGUACUGAUUUUAAGGAUUUCUACCUUCUGGAGAACCUUAAUGUCAUUUAUUUGGUGUUUUGGGAAACCAGGACUGUUACCUUGAAAAAUUAGAGUGUUUAAAGCAGGCUUAUGUCUGAAUAUAUUAGCAUGGAAUAAUGAAAUAGGACGGCAUGGUUCUAUUUUGUUGGUUUCUAGGAUCACCGUAAUGAUUAAUAGGGAUAGUUGGGGGCAUUAGUAUUCAAUUGUCAGAGGUGAAAUUCUUGGAUUUAUUGAAGACUAACUUCUGCGAAAGCAUUUGCCAAGGAUGUUUUCAUUAAUCAAGAACGAAAGUUAGGGGAUCGAAGACGAUCAGAUACCGUCGUAGUCUUAACCAUAAA
RNAcentral lists this ribosomal RNA (463 nucleotides) under uncultured Pacispora. RNAcentral describes it as "SSU rRNA". It matches the Rfam family "Eukaryotic small subunit ribosomal RNA", at positions 569 to 1036 of the family's 1831-position model. The record is from RNAcentral. Lineage: Eukaryota; Fungi; Glomeromycota; Glomeromycetes; Diversisporales; Pacisporaceae.